This 479-nucleotide ribosomal RNA is filed under the name uncultured bacterium. RNAcentral's name for it is "partial 16S ribosomal RNA". It matches the Rfam family "Bacterial small subunit ribosomal RNA", at positions 28 to 507 of the family's 1533-position model. The record is from RNAcentral.
GAUGAACGCUGGCGGCGUGCUUAACACAUGCAAGUCGAGCGAGAAGUUUUGAACAGAUUCUUCGGAUGAAAUUUAAAAUGGAAAGCGGCGGACGGGUGAGUAACGCGUAGGCAACCUGCCCCAUACAAAGGGAUAGCAUUUGGAAACGAAUAUUAAUACCUUAUGAAACUUAACUAGUGCAUGCUAGGUAGGUCAAAGAUUUAUCGGUAUGGGAUGGGCCUGCGUCUGAUUAGCUAGUUGGUGAGGUAACGGCUCACCAAGGCGACGAUCAGUAGCCGACCUGAGAGGGUGAACGGCCACAUUGGAACUGAGACACGGUCCAAACUCCUACGGGAGGCAGCAGUGGGGAAUAUUGCACAAUGGGGGAAACCCUGAUGCAGCAACGCCGCGUGAACGAUGAAGGCCUUUGGAUCGUAAAGUUCUGUUCUAGGUGAUGAAAACUGACAGUAACCUAGGAGAAAGCCCCGGCUAACUCCGUG